RNAcentral lists this ribosomal RNA (813 nucleotides) under Enterococcus casseliflavus. RNAcentral describes it as "bacterial SSU rRNA". It matches the Rfam family "Bacterial small subunit ribosomal RNA", at positions 57 to 842 of the family's 1533-position model. The record is from RNAcentral. Lineage: Bacteria; Bacillati; Bacillota; Bacilli; Lactobacillales; Enterococcaceae.
GCAGUCGAACGCUUUUUCUUUCACCGGAGCUUGCUCCACCGAAAGAAAAAGAGUGGCGAACGGGUGAGUAACACGUGGGUAACCUGCCCAUCACAAGGGGAUAACACUUGGAAACAGGUGCUAAUACCGUAUAACACUAUUUUCCGCAUGGAAGAAAGUUGAAAGGCGCUUUUGCGUCACUGAUGGAUGGACCCGCGGUGCAUUAGCUAGUUGGUGAGGUAACGGCUCACCAAGGCAACGAUGCAUAGCCGACCUGAGAGGGUGAUCGGCCACACUGGGACUGAGACACGGCCCAGACUCCUACGGGAGGCAGCAGUAGGGAAUCUUCGGCAAUGGACGAAAGUCUGACCGASCAACGCCGCGUGAGUGAAGAAAGUUUUCGGAUCGUAAAACUCUGUUGUUAGAGAAGAACAAGGAUGAGAGUAAAACGUUCAUCCCUUGACGGUAUCUAACCAGAAAGCCACGGCUAACUACGUGCCAGCAGCCGCGGUAAUACGUAGGUGGCAAGCGUUGUCCGGAUUUAUUGGGCGUAAAGGGAGCGCAGGCGGUUUCUUAAGUCUGAUGUGAAAGCCCCCGGCUCAACCGGGGAGGGUCAUUGGAAACUGGGAGACUUGAAUGCARAAGAAGAAAGUGGAAUUCCAUGUGUACCGGUGAAAUGCGUAAAUAUAUGGAGGAACACCAGUGGCUAAGGCGGCUCUCUGGUCUGUAACUGACGCUGAGGCUCGAAAGCGUGGGGAGCGAACAGGAUUAGAUACCCUGGUAGUCCACGCCGUAAACGAUGAGUGCUAAGUGUUGGAGGGUUUCCGCCCUUCA